CCUACGGUAGGCAGCAGUGGGGGAUAUUGCACAAUGGGGGGAACCCUGAUGCAGCGACGCCGCGUGGGUGAAGGAGCGUUUCGGCGCGUAAAGCCCUAUCGGCAGGGAAGAAGGAGGACGGUACCUGACUAAGAAGCCCCGGCUAACUACGUGCCAGCAGCCGCGGUAAUACGUAGGGGGCAAGCGUUAUCCGGAUUUACUGGGUGUAAAGGGGGCGCAGACGGCAGCGCAAGCCAGGAUUGAAAGCCCGGUGCCCAACCCCCGGACUGCUCUUGGAACUGCGCGGCUGGAGUGCAGGAGGGGGAGGCGGAAUGCCUGGGGUAGGGGGGAAAUGGGUAGAUAUCCGGAGGAAGAAUGGUGGCGAAGGAGGCCGGCUGGACUGCGACUGACGUGGAGGCCCGAAAUCGUGGGGAGCAAACAGGAUUAGAGACCCUGGGAGUC
Molecule: ribosomal RNA, 441 nt
Filed under: uncultured bacterium
Lineage: Bacteria
Description: partial 16S ribosomal RNA
Rfam family: Bacterial small subunit ribosomal RNA
Source: RNAcentral